GAAAGGAGGAAGGUGGAGGGAAGGAGUGGAGAAAGGAGGAAGGGAAGGAAUGGAGAGGAGGAAAGUGGAGGGAAGGAAUGGAGAAAGGAGGAAGGUGGAGGGAAGGAGUGGAGAAAGGAGGAAGGGAAGGAAUGGAGAGGAGGAAAGUGGAGAGAAGGAAUGGAGAAAGGAGGAAGGUGGAGGGAAGGAGUGGAGAAAGGAGGAAGGGAAGGAAUGGAGAGGAGGAAAGUGGAGGGAAGGAAUGGAGAAAGGAGGAAGGUGGAGGGAAGGAGUGGAGAAAGGAGGAAGGGAAGGAAUGGAGAGGAGGAAGGGAAGGAAUGGAGAGGAGGAAGGUGGAGGGAAGGACUGGAGAAAGGAGGAACGGAAGGAAUGGAGAGGAGGAAGGGAAGGUAGAGAGGAGGGAGGAGGAAGGGAAGGAGUGGAGAGGAGGUUGUUGGAAGGGAAAGAGUGGAACGGAUGAAGGGAAGGAGUGGAGAGGAGGAAGGGAAGGUAGAGAGGAGGAAGGGGAGGAGUGGAGACGAGGAAGGUGGAAGGGAAGGAGUGGAGAGGAGAAUGGAGGAAGCGAAGUAGUGGAGAGGAGGAAGGUGGAAUGAUUGGAGAGGAGAGGGGGAAGGAUGAAUGGAAGGAGUGGAGAGGAGGAAGGUGGGAGAGAAGGAGUGGAAAGGAGGAAUGUGGAAGGGAAGGAGUGGAGAGGAGGAAGGUGGAAGGGAAGGAGUGGAGAGGAGGAAGGUGGAAGGGAAGGAGUGGAGAGGAGGAAGGUGGAAGGGAAGGAGUGGAGAGGAGGAAGGUGGAAGCGAAGUAGUGGAGAGGAGGAAGGUGGAAUGAUUGGAGAGGAGAGGGGGAAGGAUGAAUGGAAGGAGUGGAGAGAAGGAAGG
Oncorhynchus tshawytscha (Chinook salmon) is the source of this 875-nucleotide long non-coding RNA. The record is from Ensembl. Lineage: Eukaryota; Metazoa; Chordata; Actinopteri; Salmoniformes; Salmonidae.